GGAAGUAAAAGUCGUAACAAGGUCUCCGUUGGUGAACCAGCGGAGGGAUCAUUACCGAGUUUACAACUCCCAAACCCAAUGUGAACGUUACCAAACUGUUGCCUCGGCGGGGUCACGCCCCGGGUGCGUAAAAGCCCCGGAACCAGGCGCCCGCCGGAGGAACCAACCAAACUCUUUCUGUAGUCCCCUCGCGGACGUAUUUCUUACAGCUCUGAGCAAAAAUUCAAAAUGAAUCAAAACUUUCAACAACGGAUCUCUUGGUUCUGGCAUCGAUGAAGAACGCAGCGAAAUGCGAUAAGUAAUGUGAAUUGCAGAAUUCAGUGAAUCAUCGAAUCUUUGAACGCACAUUGCGCCCGCCAGUAUUCUGGCGGGCAUGCCUGUCCGAGCGUCAUUUCAACCCUCGAACCCCUCCGGGGGAUCGGCGUUGGGGAUCGGGACCCCUCACCGGGUGCCGGCCCUGAAAUAGCGUGGCGGUCUCGCCGCAGCCUCUCCUGCGCAGUAGUUUGCACAACUCGCACCGGGAGCGCGGCGCGUCCACGUCCGUAAAACACCCAACUUCUGAAAUGUUGACCUCGGAUCAGGUAGGAAUACCCGCUGAACUUAAGCAUAUCAAUAAGCGGAGGA
Molecule: ribosomal RNA, 624 nt
Filed under: Trichoderma hamatum
Lineage: Eukaryota; Fungi; Ascomycota; Sordariomycetes; Hypocreales; Hypocreaceae
Description: eukaryotic LSU rRNA
Rfam family: 5.8S ribosomal RNA (bases 238-391)
Source: RNAcentral